Molecule: ribosomal RNA, 433 nt
Filed under: uncultured bacterium
Lineage: Bacteria
Description: partial 16S ribosomal RNA
Rfam family: Bacterial small subunit ribosomal RNA
Source: RNAcentral
AACGAACGCUGGCGGCAUGCCUAACACAUGCAAGUCGAACGAGACCUUCGGGUCUAGUGGCGCACGGGUGCGUAACGCGUGGGAACCUGCCUUUAGGUUCGGAAUAACUCAGAGAAAUUUGAGCUAAUACCGGAUGAUGUCUUCGGACCAAAGAUUUAUCGCCUUUAGAUGGGCCCGCGUUGGAUUAGCUAGUUGGUGGGGUAAAGGCCUACCAAGGCGACGAUCCAUAGCUGGUCUGAGAGGAUGAUCAGCCACACUGGGACUGAGACACGGCCCAGACUCCUACGGGAGGCAGCAGUGGGGAAUAUUGGACAAUGGGCGAAAGCCUGAUCCAGCAAUGCCGCGUGAGUGAUGAAGGCCUUAGGGUUGUAAAGCUCUUUUACCCGAGAUGAUAAUGACAGUAUCGGGAGAAUAAGCCCCGGCUAACUCCGUG